CCUACGUGAGGCAGCAGUGGGGAAUAUUGGGCAAUGGGCGCAAGCCUGACCCAGCAACGCCGCGUGAGGGAAGAAGGCUUUCGGGUUGUAAACUUCUUUUCUCAGGGACGAAGCAAGUGACGGUACCUGAGGAAUAAGCUACGGCUAACUACGUGCCAGCAGCCGCGGAACUACGUAGGCGGCAAGCGUUAUCCGGAUUGACUGGGUGUAAAGGGCGUGAAGGCGGGGCCGAAAGACAGAUGUGAAAACCACGGGCUCAACCUGUGGACUGCAUUUGAAACUGUGUUUCGUGAGUACUGGAGAGGCAGGCGGAAUUCCUAGUGUAGCGGUGAAAUGCGUAGAUAUUAGGAGGAACACCAGUGGCGAAGGCGGUCUGCUGGACAGCAACUGACGCUGAGGCGCGAAAGCGUGGGGAGCAAACAGGAUUAGAUACCCUUGUAGUC
This 443-nucleotide ribosomal RNA is filed under the name uncultured bacterium. RNAcentral's name for it is "partial 16S ribosomal RNA". It matches the Rfam family "Bacterial small subunit ribosomal RNA", at positions 338 to 795 of the family's 1533-position model. The record is from RNAcentral.